CCUGGCGGCACUAGCGCGGUGGUCCCACCUGACCCCAUGCCGAACUCAGAAGUGAAACGCCGUAGCGCCGAUGGUAG
RNAcentral lists this ribosomal RNA (77 nucleotides) under Klebsiella oxytoca. RNAcentral also lists the same sequence under 8 other names. The record is from RNAcentral. Lineage: Bacteria; Pseudomonadati; Pseudomonadota; Gammaproteobacteria; Enterobacterales; Enterobacteriaceae.